This 404-nucleotide ribosomal RNA is filed under the name Verrucomicrobiota bacterium. Its description in RNAcentral is "Verrucomicrobia bacterium partial 16S ribosomal RNA". It matches the Rfam family "Bacterial small subunit ribosomal RNA", at positions 355 to 776 of the family's 1533-position model. The record is from RNAcentral. Lineage: Bacteria; Pseudomonadati; Verrucomicrobiota.
UGGGGAAUAUUGCACAAUGGGGGAAACCCUGAUGCAGCGACGCCGCGUGAGCGAAGAAGGUUUUCGAAUCGUAAAGCUCUGUCCUAUGAGAAGAUAAUGACGGUAUCAUAGGAGGAAGCCCCGGCUAAAUACGUGCCAGCAGCCGCGGUAAUACGUAUGGGGCGAGCGUUGUCCGGAAUUAUUGGGCAUAAAGCGCGCGCAGGUGGUUUAGAAAGUCUGAUGUGAAAGCCCACGGCUCAACCGUGGAGGGUCAUUGGAAACUAAUAAACUUGAGUGCAGGAGAGAAAAGUGGAAUUCCUAGUGUAGCGGUGAAAUGCGUAGAGAUUAGGAGGAACACCGGUGGCGAAAGCGGCUUUUUGGCCUGCAACUGACACUGAGGCGCGAAAGCGUGGGGAGCAAACAGG